CGGUUUAUAACCUUGUUGCUUCGGCGAGCCUUGCCUUUUGGCUGCCGGGGGACAUCUGUCCCCGGGUCCGCGCUCGCCGAAGACACCUUAGAACUCUGUCUGAAGAUUGUAGUCUGAGAUAUAAUUUAACUUUCAACAACGGAUCUCUUGGUUCCGGCAUCGAUGAAGAACGCAGCGAAAUGCGAUACGUAAUGUGAAUUGCAGAAUUCAGUGAAUCAUCGAGUCUUUGAACGCACAUUGCGCCCUCUGGUAUUCCGGAGGGCAUGCCUGUCCGAGCGUCAUUGCUGCCCUCAAGCACGGCUUGUGUGUUGGGCUCCGUCCUCCUUCCGGGGGACGGGCCCGAAAGGCAGCGGCGGCACCGCGUCCGGUCCUCAAGCGUAUGGGGCUUUGUCACCCCGCUUUGUAGGACUGGCCGGCGCCUGCCGAUCAACCAAACUUUUUUCCAGGUUGACCUCGGAUCAGGUAGGGAUACCCGCUGAACUUAAGCAUAUCAUAAGCGCGGAAGGGAAACAGAACCUACGGGAGAUUGCCCCAUAACAGCGAGUGAAGCGCAAGAGCUCAAUUUGUAAGUCGGCUCCUCGGGUCCCCCAGUCACACUACGAAAAGGCCUGAUU
RNAcentral lists this ribosomal RNA (614 nucleotides) under Penicillium sp. 5 BRM-2015. RNAcentral describes it as "eukaryotic LSU rRNA". The stretch from base 128 to 281 matches the Rfam family "5.8S ribosomal RNA". The record is from RNAcentral. Lineage: Eukaryota; Fungi; Ascomycota; Eurotiomycetes; Eurotiales; Aspergillaceae.